RNAcentral lists this ribosomal RNA (253 nucleotides) under uncultured bacterium. Its description in RNAcentral is "partial 16S ribosomal RNA". It matches the Rfam family "Bacterial small subunit ribosomal RNA", at positions 524 to 776 of the family's 1533-position model. The record is from RNAcentral.
UACGGAGGGAGCUAGCGUUGUUCGGAAUUACUGGGCGUAAAGCGCACGUAGGCGGCUAUUCAAGUCGGGGGUGAAAGCCCGGGGCUCAACCACGGAACUGCCCUCGAAACUAGAUAGCUAGAAUCUUGGAGAGGCGAGUGGAAUUCCGAGUGUAGAGGUGAAAUUCGUAGAUAUUCGGAAGAACACCAGUGGCGAAGGCGACUUACUGGACGACUGUUGACGCUGAGGUGCGAAAGCGUGGGGAGCAAACAGG